GAUGAACGCUGGCGGCGUGCCUAAUACAUGCAAGUCGAACGAGGUGCUUGAGUAGCAAUACAAGAGUAUCCUAGUGGCGAACGGGUGAGUAACGCGUUGGUGACCUACCCCAAAGUGUGGGAUAACAGUCCGAAAGGAUUGCUAAUACCGCAUGUGGUCCUCGGGUUUAGAAACUGAUGACUAAAGGAGCGAUUCGCUUUGGGAGGACCUGCGUCCCAUCAGCUAGNGGUGAGGUAACGGCUCACCAAGGCUACGACGGGUA
This 262-nucleotide ribosomal RNA is filed under the name uncultured bacterium. RNAcentral describes it as "partial 16S ribosomal RNA". It matches the Rfam family "Bacterial small subunit ribosomal RNA", at positions 28 to 285 of the family's 1533-position model. The record is from RNAcentral.